GUGGGUCGAUGAAGAACGCAGCCAACUGCGAUAAAUAGUGUGAACUGCAGAAACCUUGAACACAAAACAUUCGAAUGCGCAUUGCGCCACCGGAGUAACAUCAGGUGGCACGCCUGGUUCAGGGU
This 125-nucleotide ribosomal RNA is filed under the name Rotylenchulus reniformis. Its description in RNAcentral is "partial 5.8S ribosomal RNA". It matches the Rfam family "5.8S ribosomal RNA", at positions 33 to 152 of the family's 154-position model. Rfam says of the family: 5.8S ribosomal RNA (5.8S rRNA) is a component of the large subunit of the eukaryotic ribosome. It is transcribed by RNA polymerase I as part of the 45S precursor that also contains 18S and 28S rRNA. Functionally, it is thought that 5.8S rRNA may be involved in ribosome translocation. Lineage: Eukaryota; Metazoa; Nematoda; Chromadorea; Rhabditida; Hoplolaimidae. The record is from RNAcentral.